This 54-nucleotide ribosomal RNA is filed under the name Eisenoides carolinensis. Its description in RNAcentral is "partial 12S ribosomal RNA". The record is from RNAcentral. Lineage: Eukaryota; Metazoa; Annelida; Clitellata; Crassiclitellata; Lumbricidae.
GCUUUCNAGCGAGAUAAGUCGUAACAAAGUAGAUGUAACGGAAGUUGUAUCUGU